GACCUGCGGAAGGAUCAUUACCACACCAAAAAACACCCCACGUGAAUGUAUUCUGUAUGAGGCUUGUGCUGCUCACCAGCGGCUAGCCGAAGGUUUCGCAAGAAGCCGAUGUCUAUUUGAAUCCUUUUAACAUACUACUGAUCAAAACUGCAGACAGAAAUGCCUGCAUUAAAUUGAAAUACAACUUUCAACAGUGGAUGUCUAGGCUCGCACACCGAUGAAGAACGCUGCGAACUGCGAUACGUAAUGCGAAUUGCAGAAUUCAGUGAGUCAUCAAAAUUUUGAACGCAUAUUGCACUUCCGGGUUAGUCCUGGGAGUAUGUUUGUAUCAGUGUCCGUAAAAACAAAAUUGUUUCAUUUCUUCAUUGAGAUGAAGCAGAAUGUGAAGCGUCUUGCUUUGGCAAGUCCUUUCAAACGACGGUACCUGUGCGUCCUUGUGAGAUGUAUUACUUAAAGGUAUGCAUGAGCUUACUUCGAGAGUCUUGUGUGAUGACACACAACAUUCAAAGAAAGAGCAAAUCGCGGUAGUUUUGCUUGUGCUUCGGUACGAGUGGACACAUAUUGCUUUUUGUUAUUUUGGCGAGGUUGUUGUCAGAGCGCAAGAUGCGGACUAAGAUUGUGUAUGCUGGUGCAUCUCUUGACGUACGGAGGCAAAUUGGGAACUAAAUCCAAUUUGGACCUGAUAUCAAACAAGACUACCCGCUGAACUUAAGCAUAUCAAUA
RNAcentral lists this ribosomal RNA (723 nucleotides) under Saprolegnia torulosa. RNAcentral describes it as "eukaryotic LSU rRNA". The stretch from base 183 to 337 matches the Rfam family "5.8S ribosomal RNA". The record is from RNAcentral. Lineage: Eukaryota; Oomycota; Saprolegniomycetes; Saprolegniales; Saprolegniaceae.